GUUAGAAUGUCCGAGCGGUCCAGGAGUUCAGCUUGAAUUUCAAUUCAUGGCAUCAAAUGGGCUCGCCCGCGCAGGUUCGAAUCCUGUUUCUAACG
Tuber magnatum (white Piedmont truffle) is the source of this 95-nucleotide non-coding RNA. The record is from the annotation of a GenBank genome assembly. Lineage: Eukaryota; Fungi; Ascomycota; Pezizomycetes; Pezizales; Tuberaceae.